Molecule: ribosomal RNA, 477 nt
Filed under: Brevundimonas sp.
Lineage: Bacteria; Pseudomonadati; Pseudomonadota; Alphaproteobacteria; Caulobacterales; Caulobacteraceae
Description: bacterial SSU rRNA
Rfam family: Bacterial small subunit ribosomal RNA
Source: RNAcentral
AAUAACUCAGGGAAACUUGUGCUAAUACCGAAUGUGCCCUUGGGGGGAAAGAUUUAUCGCCUUUAGAGGGGCCCGCGUCUGAUUAGCUAGUUGGGAGUGUAAUGGACUACCAAGGGGACGAUCAGUAGCUGGUCUGAGAGGAUGAUCAGCCACAUUGGGACUGAGACACGGCCCAAACUCCUACGGGAGGCAGCAGUGGGGAAUCUUGCGCAAUGGGCGAAAGCCUGACGCAGCCAUGCCGCGUGAAUGAUGAAGGUCUUAGGAUUGUAAAAUUCUUUCACCGGGGACGAUAAUGACGGUACCCGGAGAAGAAGCCCCGGCUAACUUCGUGCCAGCAGCCGCGGUAAUACGAAGGGGGCUAGCGUUGCUCGGAAUUACUGGGCGUAAAGGGAGCGUAGGCGGACAUUUAAGUCAGGGGUGAAAUCCCGGGGCUCAACCUCGGAAUUGCCUUUGAUACUGGGUGUCUUGAGUAUGAGA